RNAcentral lists this ribosomal RNA (434 nucleotides) under Metschnikowia pulcherrima. RNAcentral describes it as "partial large subunit ribosomal RNA". It matches the Rfam family "Eukaryotic large subunit ribosomal RNA", at positions 139 to 649 of the family's 3401-position model. The record is from RNAcentral. Lineage: Eukaryota; Fungi; Ascomycota; Pichiomycetes; Serinales; Metschnikowiaceae.
GGAAUUGUAAUUUGAAGAGAUUUGGGUCCGGCCGGCGGGGGUUAAGUCCACUGGAAAGUGGCGCCACAGAGGGUGACAGCCCCGUGAACCCCUUUAAAGCCCUCAUCCCAGAUCUCCAAGAGUCGAGUUGUUUGGGAAUGCAGCUCUAAGUGGGUGGUAAAUUCCAUCUAAAGCUAAAUACCGGCGAGAGACCGAUAGCGAACAAGUACAGUGAUGGAAAGAUGAAAAGCACUUUGAAAAGAGAGUGAAAAAGUACGUGAAAUUGUUGAAAGGGAAGGGCUUGCAAGCAGACACUUAACUGGGCCAGCAUCGGGGCGGCGGGAAACAAAACCACCGGGGAAUGUACCUUUCGAGGAUUAUAACCCCGGUCUCAAUUUCCUUGUUGCCCCGAGGCCUGCAAUCUAAGGAUGCUGGCGUAAUGGUUGCAAGUCGCC